Molecule: ribosomal RNA, 492 nt
Filed under: uncultured bacterium
Lineage: Bacteria
Description: partial 16S ribosomal RNA
Rfam family: Bacterial small subunit ribosomal RNA
Source: RNAcentral
AGUGAACGCUGGCGGUAGGCCUAACACAUGCAAGUCGAACGGCAGCACAGUAAGAGCUUGCUCUUACGGGUGGCGAGUGGCGGGCGGGUGAGGAAUACAUCGGAAUCUACUUUUUCGUGGGGGAUAACGUAGGGAAACUUACGCUAAUACCGCAUACGACCUACGGGUGAAAGCAGGGGAUCUUCGGACCUUGCGCGAUUGAAUGAGCCGAUGUCGGAUUAGCUAGUUGGCGGGGUAAAGGCCCACCAAGGCGACGAUCCGUAGCUGGUCUGAGAGGAUGAUCAGCCACACUGGAACUGAGACACGGUCCAGACUCCUACGGGAGGCAGCAGUGGGGAAUAUUGGACAAUGGGCGCAAGCCUGAUCCAGCCAUACCGCGUGGGUGAAGAAGGCCUUCGGGUUGUAAAGCCCUUUUGUUGGGAAAGGAAAGCAGCAGGUUAAUACCCCGCUGUUCUGACGGUACCCAAAGAAUAAGCACCGGCUAACUUCGUG